Molecule: ribosomal RNA, 559 nt
Filed under: Lacticaseibacillus paracasei
Lineage: Bacteria; Bacillati; Bacillota; Bacilli; Lactobacillales; Lactobacillaceae
Description: bacterial SSU rRNA
Rfam family: Bacterial small subunit ribosomal RNA
Source: RNAcentral
AGUCUGAUGGAGCAACGCCGCGUGAGUGAAGAAGCUUUCGGGUCUAAAACUCUGUUGUUGGAGAAGAAUGGUCGGCAGAGUAACUGUUGUCGGCGUGACGGUAUCCAACCAGAAAGCCACGGCUAACUACGUGCCAGCAGCCGCGGUAAUACGUAGGUGGCAAGCGUUAUCCGGAUUUAUUGGGCGUAAAGCGAGCGCAGGCGGUUUUUUAAGUCUGAUGUGAAAGCCCUCGGCUUAACCGAGGAAGCGCAUCGGAAACUGGGAAACUUGAGUGCAGAAGGAGGACAGUGGAACUCCAUGUGUAGCGGUGAAAUGCGUUGAUAUAUGGAAGAACACCAGUGGCGAAGGCGGCUGUCUGGUCUGUAACUGACGCUGAGGCUCGAAAGCAUGGGUAGCGAACAGGAUUAGAUACCCUGGUAGUCCAUGCCGUAAACGAUGAAUGCUAGGUGUUGGAGGGUUUCCGCCCUUCAGUGCCGCAGCUAACGCAUUAAGCAUUCCGCCUGGGGAGUACGACCGCAAGGUUGAAACUCAAAGGAAUUGACGGGGGCCCGCACAAGCG